This 1210-nucleotide long non-coding RNA is filed under the name Coturnix japonica (Japanese quail). RNAcentral describes it as "lncRNA (ENSCJPG00005000782.1)". The record is from RNAcentral. Lineage: Eukaryota; Metazoa; Chordata; Aves; Galliformes; Phasianidae.
AUGUAUUUCUAUUUUGCAUUUUUAUCUAACGAUAAACACACAUACACACACACAUGCACACAAGGGACAGAGAGAAAAAUAAGAUAUUCUAUUUGGAUUUUCAGGAGUGGGAACGCAUUAUUCCAUGCAGUGAAAUCUGAAGCAGCUUCCUGCCAUUUAGUAUGUCCAUUACAAGGUGUCAUAAUGAAAGCAGUAAUGGAUGAAUGUUAAAAAGUACAGAAGUUUGCUAUGCUUAAUUACAAAAGAGGAUGAUUCACUUCUCAUUCGUGCCACCCAGGGAAACUAGUCUGGCUGGAAGCCUCUUGAAAACGUUGUCUGAAAACAGUGCAGUCCACAUUUGUUGUGCCUGAAUCUGGAUUUUGUAAUCUUUAUGUGAGUUUGUCUUCCUUCUUCUUUAUUCUCCAAGCAGACAUACAUGUCUACGCUGAUAUGCCAUUCGUGAUUACAGAAGCAAUCACUGAAAAUAUUAGCCAUGGUAUGUCUCUGCUGUUAUGUUAAACAGGAGGAAAAAGUCUUGGGUCUUGGAACUGUCUUGUGAAAGGGUGGUGUCACCUAAAGGAUGCUUUUGUUGAUGUAUGGAGUCAGAGACUGGAGUUCUUUCUGGAAAAGGCUCAUUUGCUCCCAUUCCUGGUAAUGGUCUCCACAUCUUCCUUCUCUCAGCAGUAUCAGCAGCCUGAGCUUCCAGGUUGUGUUGCAUACACAGAUGACAAUUUGUGAGCUGCAUUUGCUGCUGAAAAUCCCUGUCCAAAUUAUUCCAAAACAAGGAAUUGGAUGAAAAAGCGUUUGAGAUAUUAGUCUUCCCAUUGGAAAUGGUGUUUGUGUUUUUUAUUCUUUUAUUUUUAAAUUCAAUUUAUUUUAUUUAUUUAGUUCAAAGACGUUCCUGAUUUAAAAGUGAAUAUUAUAUCCUGUUAUGCUGCAAAAUGUGAAAAACAGCAUUGUUGCUGCUUUUAUACUUGAUAACAUUCCACUCUCCUUUUGCCUCCAAGCCAAGUAGUACUGAAUGGAUUGUGUUCAUAUUGCUCACAGUUAAUCCUUCCCAAUGCAUUGCAGCUGCAUUUCUUCUGCAAGAUGCCGAGACCAAAACCGUCUGGGAUCUCUGCAAGACCAUUAUUUCCUAAAUUACUUUGUUUUUUAUCUUUGUAAUUUAAUAUGACUGAAAUAGCAUGAAGACUGCGCCACAGUCUUGAGGAACAGUUUCUUUAUUAGUAGC